Panthera tigris altaica (Amur tiger) is the source of this 129-nucleotide small nucleolar RNA. Its record names the gene SNORA70. It matches the Rfam family "Small nucleolar RNA SNORA70". From Rfam's summary of the family: snoRNA U70 seems to be exclusive to mammals and is a member of the H/ACA class of snoRNA which contain H (ANANNA) and ACA box motifs. The record is from Ensembl. NCBI's taxonomy places the organism in Eukaryota, Metazoa, Chordata, Mammalia, Carnivora, Felidae.
CUGUCUGCAACCAGGCAAGCUCUUUGCCCACGGGGACCCAGUGACCGACAGCUGCAGACAGCGGCCUCCUCGGUGGCGUCUACAGCCUGUUGAUUGCAUGGGUUGCCAAGAGGAACCCUGGAGAGAGCC